UAUCCCUACGGGGCGCAGCAGUGAGGAAUAUUGGUCAAUGGGCGGGAGCCUGAACCAGCCAAGUCGCGUGAGGGAAGACGGUCCUACGGAUUGUAAACCUCUUUUGCCGGGGAGCAACGGGGUCCUUGCGAGGUCCCAAUGAGAGUACCCGGAGAAAAAGCAUCGGCUAACUCCGUGCCAGCAGCCGCGGUAAUACGGAGGAUGCGAGCGUUAAUCGGAAUUACUGGGCGUAAAGCGCUCGUAGGCGGUAUGUCACGUCAAGGGUGAAAUCCCCGCGCUCAACGUGGGAACUGCCUUUGAAACUG
This 305-nucleotide ribosomal RNA is filed under the name uncultured bacterium. RNAcentral's name for it is "bacterial SSU rRNA". It matches the Rfam family "Bacterial small subunit ribosomal RNA", at positions 334 to 635 of the family's 1533-position model. The record is from RNAcentral.